AACGAACGUCGGCGGCGUGGAUUAGGCAUGCAAGUCGAACGCGAAUCCCUGGGCAACUGGGGAGGAGAGUGGCGAAAGGGGCAGUAAGGCGUGGGUAACCUACCCUCCGGGCCGGGAUAGCUUCGGGAAACUGAAGGUAAUACCGGGCGACGCAGCGAGAUCGCAUGGUCUUGCUGCCAAAGGUCCGCCGCCGGGGGAGGGGCUCACGUGGUAUUAGCUAGACGGCGGGGUAACGGCCCACCGUGGCAAAGAUGCCUAGCAGGUGUGAGAGCACGACCUGCGCCACUGGCACUGAGACACUGGCCAGACACCUACGGGUGGCUGCAGUCGAGGAUCUUCGGCAAUGGGCGCAAGCCUGACCGAGCGACGCCGCGUGUGCGAUGAAGGCCUUCGGGUUGUAAAGCACUGUCGAGGGGGAGGAAGCCGCAAGGUUGACCUAUCCCUGGAGGAAGCACGGGCUAAGUUCGU
Molecule: ribosomal RNA, 468 nt
Filed under: uncultured bacterium
Lineage: Bacteria
Description: partial 16S ribosomal RNA
Rfam family: Bacterial small subunit ribosomal RNA
Source: RNAcentral